GACGAACGCUGGCGGCGUGCUUAACACAUGCAAGUCGAACGGAAAGGCCCUGCUUUUGUGGGGUGCUCGAGUGGCGAACGGGUGAGUAACACGUGAGUAACCUGCCCUUGACUUUGGGAUAACUUCAGGAAACUGGGGCUAAUACCGGAUAGGAGCUCCUGCUGCAUGGUGGGGGUUGGAAAGUUUCGGCGGUUGGGGAUGGACUCGCGGCUUAUCAGCUUGUUGGUGGGGUAGUGGCUUACCAAGGCUUUGACGGGUAGCCGGCCUGAGAGGGUGACCGGCCACAUUGGGACUGAGAUGAGGCCCGGACUACUACGGGAGGCAGCAGUGGGGAAUAGUGCACAAUGGGCGGAAGCCUGAUGCAGCAACGCCGCGUGCGGGAUGACGGCCUUCGGUUUGUAAACCGCUUUCGCCUGUGACGAAGCGUGAGUGACGGUAAUGGGUAAAGAAGCACCGGCUAACUACGUG
RNAcentral lists this ribosomal RNA (468 nucleotides) under uncultured bacterium. Its description in RNAcentral is "partial 16S ribosomal RNA". It matches the Rfam family "Bacterial small subunit ribosomal RNA", at positions 28 to 507 of the family's 1533-position model. The record is from RNAcentral.